GACGAACGCUGGCGGCGUGCUUAACACAUGCAAGUCGAACGGUGAAGCGCUUUCCUUUUUGGUUGGUGUGGAUGAGUGGCGAACGGGUGAGUAACACGUGAGUAACCUGCCCCCUUCUUCUGGAUAACCGCAUGAAAGUGUGGCUAAUACGGGAUAUUCUGCGCCUGCUGCAUGGUGGGUGUGGGAAAGAUUGUGCCUUUGGGUGUUUUCGGUGGGGGAUGGGCUCGCGGCCUAUCAGCUUGUUGGUGGGGUGAUGGCCUACCAAGGCGGUGACGGGUAGCCGGGCUGAGAGGGUGGACGGUCACACUGGGACUGAGACACGGCCCAGAAUCCUACGGGAGGCAGCAGUGGGGAAUAUUGCACGAUGGGCGCAAGCCUGAUGCAGCGACGCCGCGUGAGGGAUGGAGGCCUUCGGGGUGUGAACCUCUUUCGGCAGUGAAGCAGGCCUGCUCCUUGUGGGUGGGUUGACGGUAGCUGGAUAAGAAGCGCCGGCUAACUACGUG
This 503-nucleotide ribosomal RNA is filed under the name uncultured bacterium. RNAcentral describes it as "partial 16S ribosomal RNA". It matches the Rfam family "Bacterial small subunit ribosomal RNA", at positions 28 to 507 of the family's 1533-position model. The record is from RNAcentral.